Molecule: ribosomal RNA, 446 nt
Filed under: uncultured bacterium
Lineage: Bacteria
Description: bacterial SSU rRNA
Rfam family: Bacterial small subunit ribosomal RNA
Source: RNAcentral
UCCAGACUCCUACGGGAGGCAGCAGUGAGGGAUAUUGGUCAAUGGGGGAAACCCUGAACCAGCAACGCCGCGUGGGGGAAGACGGUUUUCGGAUUGUAAACCUCUGUCCUCUGUGAAGAUAAUGACGGUAGCAGAGGAGGAAGCUCCGGCUAACUACGUGCCAGCAGCCGCGGCAAUACGUAGGGAGCGAGCGUUGUCCGGAUUUACUGGGCGUAAAGGGAGCGUAGGCGGCCUGCCAAGUCUGAUGUGAAAUACCGGGGCUCAACCCCGGGGCUGCAUUGGAAACUGGCAGGCUGGAGUGCCGGAGAGGCAGGCGGAAUUCCUAGUGUAGCGGUGAAAUGCGUAGAUAUUAGGAGGAACACCAGUGGCGAAGGCGGCCUGCUGGACGGUGACUGACGCUGAGGCUCGAAAGCGUGGGGAGCAAACAGGAUUAGAUACCCGGGUAA